GACGAACGCUGGCGGCGUGCUUAACACAUGCAAGUCGAACGCUGAAGCUCAGCUUUUGUUGGGUGGAUGAGUGGCGAACGGGUGAGUAACACGUGAGUAACCUGCCUCCUUCUUUGGGAUAACGCCCGGAAACGGGUGCUAAUACUGGAUAUUCACUGGUCUUCGCAUGGGGGUUGGUGGAAAGGGUUUUUCUGGUGGGGGAUGGGCUCGCGGCCUAUCAGCUUGUUGGUGGGGUGAUGGCCUACCAAGGCUUUGACGGGUAGCCGGCCUGAGAGGGUGACCGGUCACAUUGGGACUGAGAUACGGCCCAGACUCCGACGGGAGGCAGCAGUGGGGAAUAUUGCACAAUGGGCGCAAGCCUGAUGCAGCGACGCCGAGUGAGGGAUGGAGGCCUUCGGGUUGUGAACCUCUUUCGCUCAUGGUCAAGCCGCAACAAUGGUUGUGGUGAGGGUAGUGGGUAAAGAAGCGCCGGCUAACUACGUG
Molecule: ribosomal RNA, 483 nt
Filed under: uncultured bacterium
Lineage: Bacteria
Description: partial 16S ribosomal RNA
Rfam family: Bacterial small subunit ribosomal RNA
Source: RNAcentral